AGUGAACGCUGGCGGUAGGCCUAACACAUGCAAGUCGAACGGCAGCACAGUAAGAGCUUGCUCUUACGGGUGGCGAGUGGCGGACGGGUGAGGAAUACAUCGGAAUCUACUUUUUCGUGGGGGAUAACGUAGGGAAACUUACGCUAAUACCGCAUACGACCUACGGGUGAAAGCAGGGGAUCUUCGGACCUUGCGCGAUUGAAUGAGCCGAUGUCGGAUUAGCUAGUUGGCGGGGUAAAGGCCCACCAAGGCGACGAUCCGUAGCUGGUCUGAGAGGAUGAUCCGCCACACUGGAACUGAGACACGGUCCAGACUCCUACGGGAGGCAGCAGUGGGGAAUAUUGGACAAUGGGCGCAAGCCUGAUCCAGCCAUACCGCGUGGGUGAAGAAGGCCUUCGGGUUGUAAAGCCCUUUUGUUGGGAAAGAAAAGCAGCAGGUUAAUACCCCGCUGCUCUGACGGUACCCAAAGAAUAAGCACCGGCUAACUUCGUG
RNAcentral lists this ribosomal RNA (492 nucleotides) under uncultured bacterium. Its description in RNAcentral is "partial 16S ribosomal RNA". It matches the Rfam family "Bacterial small subunit ribosomal RNA", at positions 29 to 507 of the family's 1533-position model. The record is from RNAcentral.